RNAcentral lists this long non-coding RNA (773 nucleotides) under Canis lupus familiaris (dog). Its description in RNAcentral is "lncRNA (ENSCAFG00845020146.1)". The record is from RNAcentral. Lineage: Eukaryota; Metazoa; Chordata; Mammalia; Carnivora; Canidae.
UCGCAGAAUUUUCCUUUGCUCACACCAUCAAAGCUUUUCUUUCAGCCAUGAAAGCUGGGUCAGCUCUCAAAGUGCUAAUUAUUUCGUUAAAUAAAACAGCCCCCUUUCUCAAUCUCUCCCUACUUAGGCUUGAGAGCAGGAAAUGAGAGCAGUACCUUUUUUUUUUUUCCCUUUUUUCUUUUCUUUUUCUUUUUUUUUUUUUUUUUUGGUAUCAGUGCUGGUUAACUUUCAAUACACUUGACGACACUCUCUGCUUUUCGUGGGAAAUUUUAUGAAUGUUGAGUUUGUUGGUGGGCUUAGAAGACUUGACGACUGUCUCAGCAAACGUAGCGGCACCACCUGGUACCCUGAAGCUUUCAGGUUCCAGAUACACAGAGCUGGCACUUCUCCUGAAGGAGUUCAGGUGGCAGCAGGGCCUGCGCCAUCAAAGGCCUGGUGGCAGUUAGAGAGCUGGAGCUCCCUCUUCAACCCUGAACCCGCCGUCUCUCUCUCCUACUAUUAACCCUCUACUUCUACCAUUGAAUCCAAAAGCCCAUCGCCCCUGUCAGAGUGAGCCUGCACUCUGCUUACCAGCAACGCUCCAGCUUGGAGCUUGGCUUCCUGACCCCACAGGUAUAGUGUGGGUCCAAGCCAGCCAUCUAGGACAGAGCCACGUGGCAGUGCAGGGGUUCUCACACUUCUGUGUGCAUCAGGACCACCUAGAGAGCUCGUGCAAGCAGCCUAUGGGGCCGCAGCCAUGGGGUUUCUGACCCAUUAGGUCUGGGGUGGGGCCU